RNAcentral lists this unclassified non-coding RNA (375 nucleotides) under uncultured bacterium. Its description in RNAcentral is "contains 16S-23S intergenic spacer region". The record is from RNAcentral.
UCCGAUUUGUCACCGGCAGUCUCCCUAGAGUCCCCGGCAUUAUCCGCUGGCAACAUGGGAUAAGGGUUGCGCUCGUUGCGGGACUUAACCCAACAUCUCACGACACGAGCUGACGACAGCCAUGCACCACCUAUCACGGGCCCCGAAGGACACCGUAUUUCUACGGCUUUUCCCGCAUAGUUCAGCCCAGGUAAGGUUCUUCGCGUUGCAUCGAAUUGAGCCACAUGCUCCGCCGCUUGUGCGGGCCCCUGUCAAUUCAUUUGAGUUUUAACCUUGCGGCCGUACUCCCCAGGCGGUCGACUUAUCGCGUUAACUGCGCCACUAAGAACUCGAGGCUCCCAACGGCUAGUCGACAUCGUUUACGGCGUGGACUAC